GACAACGUGGCCGAGUGGUUAAGGCGAUGCCCUGCUAUCUUUGAUCGUAUAGGCAUUGUGUUCGCACGCGCAAGUUCGAAUCUUGUCGUUGUCG
This is a transfer RNA of 94 nucleotides. It matches the Rfam family "tRNA". From Rfam's summary of the family: Transfer RNA (tRNA) molecules are approximately 80 nucleotides in length. The record is from Rfam.